Camellia sinensis is the source of this 474-nucleotide non-coding RNA. The record is from RefSeq and is a predicted model, not a curated record. Lineage: Eukaryota; Viridiplantae; Streptophyta; Magnoliopsida; Ericales; Theaceae.
UUACCAUCGCACACUAUCGGCCGCCCACAGAUUUCCAAAAUAGGAGGGAUCCCCACCUGCAGACCCAACCACAGUAUUUGCCGUUUAAGGAUUGUUUAGGUGCCUUGGAUGGGACACACGUGCCAGCGUGCAUAAAGGAGUCGGAAGCAGCCCCGUAUUUUAGCCGAAAGGGUUGCCACACUCAAAAUAUUUUGGCAGUGUGUGAUUUCAAUGUGUUUCGUCUUUGUGUCAUGUGGUUGGGAGGGUAGCAUGCAUGACAGCCGGAUUUUAAACAUUAUCACCGAGGAUCCGCAAUAUAAUUUUCCAACUGCAGUGGAUGGUCGCUAUUAUCUAGUGGAUAGUGGAUACAGUAAUAAGAAGGGAUUUCUUGCACCAUAUAAGGGCAGCCACUAUCACCAACCACACUUUCAACGUCACAAGCCGAGGAAUCGUGAUGAGUUGUUCAACCGUGCCCACUCUUCAUUGCGGAGUGUG